Molecule: ribosomal RNA, 356 nt
Filed under: uncultured bacterium
Lineage: Bacteria
Description: bacterial SSU rRNA
Rfam family: Bacterial small subunit ribosomal RNA
Source: RNAcentral
AUUGAACGCUGGCGGAAUGCCUAACACAUGCAAGUCGAGCGGGGUGUAGCAAUACACCUAGCGGCGGACGGGUGAGGAAUACAUAGGAAUCUACCUUUAAGUGGGGGAUAGCCCGGGGAAACCCGGAUUAAUACCGCAUGAUCUCGCAAGAGCAAAGCGGGGGACCGUAAGGCCUCGCGCUGAAAGAUGAGCCUAUGUCGGAUUAGCUAGUUGGCGGGGUAAAGGCCCACCAAGGCGACGAUCCGUAGCUGGUCUGAGAGGACGAUCAGCCACACCGGAACUGAGACACGGUCCGGACUCCUACGGGAGGCAGCAGUGGGGAAUAUUGGACAAUGGGCGCAAGCCUGAUCCAGCAA